UUAUUAAAAACUUAAUGAAUAUUACCUAAUAGUGGGUUACCUCCCACUCAGCGCUUUGUUAUAGUCAUUUAGCUUGACUUUGGAGGUGAUUUGGCUAAUAAUGUUGAGACCUGGGACUUGUUGGAAAACAAGUAUACAACUCUUCUUUGCGCUUGUUGAACCAUGUACUAGUGAAGCCUCUCAUAGCUUCAUCCCAUCUACGCCAUUUUUCUUUCACUGUUGCAGUUGUGUUUUCCAUCCUCUGCAAUCUAUCUUCAAGACUCUCCAGGUUGAACUGAUGUCUCCUAAGUGUGGCGUAAGUCUCAGCUGAGAUCUCCUCUCCAUGGUAAUGUGUGUCAGACAUGUCUAAUAUCAUCUUUGGUACUAGCUGGCCUCGGUUUGUAGCAUCGUCGACUGAUGUUCGAUGGUGAAUGUCGGUCGAUAUGUUGUUGCAUAUGUCGAUUGAUAACGAUGCUUCUGGUCAACGGGCAAUGUAACUCUGAAUCUCCACCAAUUCCCCUUGUAUAGCU
This 509-nucleotide long non-coding RNA is filed under the name Brassica napus (rape). Its description in RNAcentral is "long non-coding RNA (BNAP_LNC022194)". The record is from RNAcentral. Lineage: Eukaryota; Viridiplantae; Streptophyta; Magnoliopsida; Brassicales; Brassicaceae.